This 1151-nucleotide long non-coding RNA is filed under the name Takifugu rubripes (torafugu). Its description in RNAcentral is "lncRNA (ENSTRUG00000027012.1)". The record is from RNAcentral. Lineage: Eukaryota; Metazoa; Chordata; Actinopteri; Tetraodontiformes; Tetraodontidae.
GGCGCCACGCUUGAUGAUAUCCGACAAGCAUUCCCAAUCCCAAUGGGCCCUCCAGGAGCUACUGGGGCGCCAGGGUUGAAGGGGGAUAAAGGAGAAAUGGGCCUGAGAGGAGACAAGGUAGUUAAACGUUUCUGCUGAAAACAAAAACAAAAAAAUCAAUCGCAGUAUUCAAGUGGAAUUGACCUUUUUCUUGGCCGCGCUGGUUUCCUGCAGGGAGAUGCCGGAACUCCGGGAAAAUCUAUAGAGAUGAAGGUGCGUCAAACCUCCCUAAUGCUGCCCUAAUACGCUCAAGCGGGUGCAGCAAUUUGUUUUCCAUCUUCCACAGGACAUCGAAAUGAUGUUUGAAGCCUACGGCAUCAGGCUGUCGUUGCUGAAGGCUUUGAUCGACAGGCUGCUGCAGGACGGAACAGAGGACUCGCUCGGAGCCAGGAAAACAAAGGAAACGGCAGAAACCCGCACCUCCAACGUCAUCAGCGAGUACGCUAGUUCAGGAAAGUUUCACGUCGGCGGCCAGCAGCUGUCGGAGUUACACGCGACAGAGGGCUACGGUUUAAAAGGACAGCUGCCUUUGCCCUUCGGCCCCGCCGCCGCGGCUCCUACAUUACAGCCUCCCAUCACCCAGAAUGCCGAGCAGCACCUUGACGGAGGUGAGUUUAACAGAUCCAGUUUUAAGGAUUCAGCCAACGGGGACAGAGACAGAGCAUCUCUCAAUGUCAUCGGUUCUACUUCAAACCCUCCCUUCACCCGGGAGACUGUUUCAGAGUUACCAGAAAUCUUGGCGGAGACGGUUUUGCUCAGUCCAGAAGUCUCUUUGGAGAAGGGACAAAAGAAGAAGAACAGAGAGCGCGGGAAGGGCAACAGAAAUAAGGGACGACCUAAGAGGCAGAGGCAACGCCUGGUAAAUGUCCCUAAAGGGGUCAGACUCAUCCAUAACACUAACACAACGAAGCCCCACCCUGCAGAAUUUUAGGAUUCUGCAAUACAGAAAGAAAAAUGCUUUGUAGCUAAAAUCUUUCAUCAUAAACUAACAAUAACUCACGCUUUAGAGGCUAUAAGCACGCGUUUCUCCCCGUGUCAGUGUGCUUCUCAUCACAUCGACCGCAGCUUCGGCUCUCUGGCUCCUCAUCACUCGGCUAUUCUCUGAUCCCGCC